This 20-nucleotide non-coding RNA is filed under the name Arabidopsis thaliana (thale cress). The record is from RNAcentral. Lineage: Eukaryota; Viridiplantae; Streptophyta; Magnoliopsida; Brassicales; Brassicaceae.
CUGAGUCUACUAUGCAGACA